RNAcentral lists this ribosomal RNA (868 nucleotides) under uncultured archaeon. RNAcentral describes it as "bacterial SSU rRNA". It matches the Rfam family "Archaeal small subunit ribosomal RNA", at positions 1 to 878 of the family's 1478-position model. The record is from RNAcentral.
CUCCGGUUGAUCCUGCCGGACCCGACUGCUAUCAGAGUGAGAUUAAGCCAUGCGAGUCAACGUAGCAAUACGUGGCACACGGCUCAGUAACACGUAGUCAACAUAACCAAAGGACGUGGAUAAACUCGGGAAACUGAGGCUAAACCGCGAUAGAUCAAGAUAUCUGGAAUGGUUUUUGAUCGAAAUCUAUAUGGCCUUUGGAUUGGACUGCGUCCGAUCAGGCUGUUGGUGAGGUAAUGGCCCACCAAACCUGUAACCGGUACGGGCUCUGAGAGGAGGAGCCCGGAGAUGGGUACUGAGAAAAGGACCCAGGCCCUAUGGGGCGCAGCAGGCGCGAAACCUCUGCAAUAGGCGAAAGCCUGACAGGGUUACUCUGAGUGACUUUCGCUAAGAAAGUCUUUUGACAUCUCUAAAAAUGGUGUAGAAUAAGGGGUGGGCAAGUCUGGUGUCAGCCGCCGCGGUAAUACCAGCACCCCGAGUGGUCGGGACGAUUAUUGGGCCUAAAGCAUCCGUAGCCAGUUUUACAAGUCCUCCGUUAAAUCCAGCUGCUUAACAGAUGGGCUGCGGAGGAUACUAUAAGACUAGGAGGCAGGAGAGGCAAGCGGUACUCAGUGGGUAGGGGUAAAAUCCGUUGAUCCAUUGAAGACCACCAGUGGCGAAGGCGGCUUGCCAGAAUGCGCUCGACGGUGAGGGAUGAAAGCUGGGGGAGCAAACCGGAUUAGAUACCCGGGUAGUCCCAGCUGUAAACGAUGCAGACUCGGUGAUGGACUAGCUUUAUGCUAGUCCAGUGCCGCAGGGAAGCCGUUAAGUCUGCCGCCUGGGUAGUACGGUCGCAAGACUGAAACUUAAAGGAAUUGGCGGGGGAGCA